Molecule: ribosomal RNA, 301 nt
Filed under: uncultured bacterium
Lineage: Bacteria
Description: partial 16S ribosomal RNA
Rfam family: Bacterial small subunit ribosomal RNA
Source: RNAcentral
CAGUCGCCACGGUAAGACAGAGGUCCCGAGCGUUGUUCGGAUUCAUUGGGCGUAAAGGAUGUGUAGGAGGCCAGGUAAGUCAGGUGUGAAAUCUCAGAGCUUAACUCUGAAACUGCGCUUGAUACUGCUUGGCUAGAGGAUCGGAGGGGGUAACGGAAUUUAUGGUGUAGCAGUGAAAUGCGUUGAGAUCGGAAAGAACACCAACGGCGAGAGCACUCUGCUGGGCCGACACUGACACUGAGAGACGAAAGCUAGGGGAGCAAAUGGGAUUAGAUACCCCCGUAGUCCCUGUCUCUUAUAC